UGUUAAUUUAUCAUCACUCUUUUAACUUGCUGCAAUUGCUCUGUUUUAAUUUUUAGUUGGUAACAUUAAGACAAGAAAAACCAAAAACAUAUUUCCAUUUAGCUUGAUUAGUUUCUUGUAUUCUUGGUGUGUUAUUCUUGUCCUUCCCUGUGGAUUCGAUAAAUUCACCAUACAUGAGCUUUCUCAUCUCCUUCCAAGAGUAAGCUAGAUCCUUGAAGUGAAUACGUGUAGUCUCUAUCUCAUCCCACCAAUCAUAAGCUCCUCCGAUUAAAGCAUCUUCCGCAUAGGAU
RNAcentral lists this long non-coding RNA (290 nucleotides) under Arabidopsis lyrata. RNAcentral's name for it is "long non-coding RNA (ALYR_LNC002499)". The record is from RNAcentral. Lineage: Eukaryota; Viridiplantae; Streptophyta; Magnoliopsida; Brassicales; Brassicaceae.